CAGCAGCCCUCUAGAUUUCCCCUCUCUUUUGUUUAUUUGUCCCAUGUCCUUUGACACAUUUUGUCAUCUUAAUGUCUGCAGAGAGAACUAACUUAAUGUCUGUGUACCAUCUGCUGGAGCAGUGGGAUAAUAACAGAGCAGAUAUCUAGAUAUCAGUAUCUAGAUACUAUUCACCACAUCAGUGAAUGCUGAGGAAAACAGGAAGCUUGCACAGAGAGAGAAGGACUUUGAGAUCUUCAUCUUCAGACAAUCUUGUGUGCCCUCUUGCCUUUGGUCCCCUCAUAUACAAUGUGGUCAUUUUGAUAUGACUGAAGUCACAGAACUGCUGAUCAUCCCAACAGCAAGGUUUGAUUCACGUUUGUGAAUUUACAGAAAGUAUCUCCUCAGAAGUUUAAUUUUGUCACAUCCUCCAACUGAUCUGGAAAUACUGAUGAUGCAGUGACGCCACAGCUAUGUUAAAUUCAUACACUGCUGUUCUCUGUCUUUUGUGAAUAGUCUGGCAUUAAAAUAUAAACUUAUUUUGUCUGUACUUUUAUGCUUCUGUUAUUUCUUUUCCACCUUUUUUCUCCCACUGGAACAUGGUAACAAAUGAAAAGAGAACAUGGUUCUGAAAAAUCCUCAGAUCUCCCUUUUUAAAAGGCCACAGAGGAUGCUUAUAAAAUUUCAAUUUUUCUUUGUUCUUUUAAGAAAAC
Molecule: long non-coding RNA, 692 nt
Filed under: Zonotrichia albicollis (white-throated sparrow)
Lineage: Eukaryota; Metazoa; Chordata; Aves; Passeriformes; Passerellidae
Description: lncRNA (ENSZALG00000011519.1)
Source: RNAcentral